CUACGGGAUGCAGCAGUGGGGAAUAUUGCACAAUGGGCGCAAGCCUGAUGCAGCCAUGCCGCGUGUAUGAAGAAGGCCCUCGGGUUGUAAAGUACUUUCAGCGGGGAGGAAGGGAGUAAAGUUAAUACCUUUGCUCAUUGACGUUACCCGCAGAAGAAGCACCGGCGAACUCCGUGCCAGCAGCCGCGGUAAUACGGAGGGUGCAAGCGUUAAUCGGAAUUACUGGGCGUAAAGCGCACGCAGGCGGUUUGUUAAGUCAGAUGUGAAAUCCCCGGGCUCAACCUGGGAACUGCAUCUGAUACUGGCAAGCUUGAGUCUCGUAGAGGGGGGUAGAAUUCCAGGUGUAGCGGUGAAAUGCGUAGAGAUCUGGAGGAAUACCGGUGGCGAAGGCGGCCCCCUGGACGAAGACUGACGCUCAGGUGCGAAAGCGUGGGGAGCAAACAGGAUUAGAUACCCGUGUAGUC
Molecule: ribosomal RNA, 464 nt
Filed under: uncultured bacterium
Lineage: Bacteria
Description: partial 16S ribosomal RNA
Rfam family: Bacterial small subunit ribosomal RNA
Source: RNAcentral